UACUCACCAGGUCCAGACAUAGAAAGGAUUGACAGAUUGAUAGCUCUUUCUUAAUUCUAUGGGUGGUGGUGCAUGGCCGUUCUUAGUUGGUGGAGUGAUUUGU
This 103-nucleotide ribosomal RNA is filed under the name Hepatozoon sp. RNAcentral's name for it is "partial 18S ribosomal RNA". It matches the Rfam family "Eukaryotic small subunit ribosomal RNA", at positions 1213 to 1314 of the family's 1831-position model. Lineage: Eukaryota; Apicomplexa; Hepatozoidae. The record is from RNAcentral.